RNAcentral lists this ribosomal RNA (465 nucleotides) under Vreelandella stevensii. Its description in RNAcentral is "partial 16S ribosomal RNA". It matches the Rfam family "Bacterial small subunit ribosomal RNA", at positions 338 to 795 of the family's 1533-position model. Lineage: Bacteria; Pseudomonadati; Pseudomonadota; Gammaproteobacteria; Oceanospirillales; Halomonadaceae. The record is from RNAcentral.
CCUACGGGAGGCAGCAGUGGGGAAUAUUGGACAAUGGGGGCAACCCUGAUCCAGCCAUGCCGCGUGUGUGAAGAAGGCCCUCGGGUUGUAAAGCACUUUCAGUGAGGAAGAACGCCUGGUGGUUAAUACCCAUCAGGAAAGACAUCACUCACAGAAGAAGCACCGGCUAACUCCGUGCCAGCAGCCGCGGUAAUACGGAGGGUGCGAACGUUAAUCGGAAUUACUGGGCGUAAAGCGCGCGUAGGUGGCUUGAUAAGCCGGUUGUGAAAGCCCCGGGCUCAACCUGGGAACGGCAUCCGGAACUGUCAAGCUAGAGUGCAGGAGAGGAAGGUAGAAUUCCCGGUGUAGCGGUGAAAUGCGUAGAGAUCGGGAGGAAUACCAGUGGCGAAGGCGGCCUUCUGGACUGACACUGACACUGAGGUGCGAAAGCGUGGGUAGCAAACAGGAUUAGAUACCCGUGUAGUC